GAUGAAGAACGUGGCGAAAUGCGAUAAGUAAUGUGAAUUGCAGAAUUCAGUGAAUCAUCGAAUCUUUGAACGCACAUUGCGCCCAUUAGUAUUCUAGUGGGCAUGCCUGUUCGAGCGUCAUUAAGUCCACUUAAGCCCUGCUUAGUGUUGGGAGACUGCUCCAGCGGUGCUACCCUGUAGCUACCCUGCAGCUCCUCAAAGACAGCGGCGGAGUUGUGGUAUCCUCUGAGCUUAGUAACUUGUUCUAGCUUUCGAGUACACCACUUCCCCUGCCGUAAAACCCUUAAUUUUUAAUGGUUGACCUCGGAUCAGGUAGGAAUACCCGCUGAACUUAAGCAUAUCAAUAAGCGGAGGA
RNAcentral lists this unclassified non-coding RNA (355 nucleotides) under soil metagenome. Its description in RNAcentral is "partial contains 5.8S ribosomal RNA, internal transcribed spacer 2, and large subunit ribosomal RNA". The stretch from base 1 to 120 matches the Rfam family "5.8S ribosomal RNA", at positions 35 to 154 of the family's 154-position model. The record is from RNAcentral.